Molecule: long non-coding RNA, 3696 nt
Filed under: Canis lupus familiaris (dog)
Lineage: Eukaryota; Metazoa; Chordata; Mammalia; Carnivora; Canidae
Description: lncRNA (ENSCAFG00845029174.1)
Source: RNAcentral
AAUUGAUCAGCUGCUCUGGAUCCCCCCCCACCCCCUCAAAACAAAAAUGAAACAAACAAAAACAAAAACUUUGAAGCACAAAACUCCAAAUACAAGUUCUAUCAAGACUGAAAUCACAGAGGGCGUGGACAAGAGACAGGAUUGGGGGCUGGCUGGCUCUUUUCUGCUUGGAGCGUGCUGACCUCUGGCUGCCCGUCCUGUCCUGCCUGACUGCGGCUCACCCUGGGCUGAGGACCCGACGACACAGAGGUGCAGAGGCCACAAGCCACUGUGGGGGAUGGUGGAGUCCUCAGGGAGGAAGGGCCUUGUGGGAGGAGGGACAAAGUGGAAUUGGGAGCCCUGCCCUUCCUCUCCCAGGGCCAUUUUUCAAGAGUUCCACCCUGGCUCUCUCUCUGGAGGGGGCAACCCCCGGCUUCCUCCCCUUCACGAUUGCCGAUUUGCCGAUUGCCGAUUGCCGCAGGGCCAGGGGACUCUUCCCAAGGGCCGCCCCCUCCCUUAGAGAGGAGCAGACACUGAGGACGGCUGUAAGUCAGGGUGAGAGUGGGUCUCCUGUUUCCUGCGGAGGGUGCCCAGCUGAGGGGUGGGGGUGAGGCCCACAGUCAUCUACACAGAGCAAAGUUGCCCCUAUCCAGCAGAAGCCAUGGAAUCUGGAGAACCCAGGGCCUGGAGAAUACCUGAGCCACCAUCCAUCCUACUACCCAGAGGAGCCUUUUACCUCUGGGGUAAAAGUCUCCUAAAUUAAGCCCUUUGGAUAAGAAAGACCACACCCUAAAAGGGAGUGAAGGGAGAAAACCGCUUAGAGCGCAUGAUGUGUGACUUGGGAGUGAGAGCCCAGAGAGGCUCUGCUGGCCCCAAGAGGAAGUAUCAGAGAUGGCUGGAGGGGCAACUGUACAUGCAGACUUCAUGAGCUGGAAACAGUCCCCCUCACUCAUGUGGAGAGACGUGAGGGCAGCACUUGUGCCCGUUCGCACUGCCUGUUGAGCCUGAGCCAGGAAGAAGGGACGGGCGGGCCCCGCAGGGAACCCGGGCACUCACAUGAUGCCAGCGGUGCAGCCCCACGCAGGAAAGGCCCCACCAGAGGCUGCCCAGAGCCCGGUUGCCCCAAGGGCCUGAUAAGGAAGGGAGGAAGCAGAACUCUGGAUGAGCUCAGCAGAGGGGAGACAAGACCCAGCAGGCUCCAGGGAAGAAAAAGGACCUGCAGGCGGCACUGGCACUGGCAAGAACGCGAGGCGGGAAGAUGACAGCAACGUGACCUCACCGGCUUCAGGGUGCAGUGCCUGCGCCGCUGGCCUCCUGUUCAAGGGCCCACUGGCAGCCACUCCCUGGACUCUGAAGUGACUGCAAAGCCAGCUGGUCUGAGAUGUGUCUGUGAGCAGCUAGGCCUGAGCAUGGCGAAAGAGUAGCAGCGGGGGGAGGAGGAAGAGGUGAAGAUGGCCCAGGUGAAGCAGUCACGGAAGUGUGUCUCAGGGGGUCACAAGCACCCACAGGUCUAGGGCACAGAGAGAGGGUCUUUUCUUGGCAGGACGGUAAAGGAAAAGGAGACGGGGGUGACCAGGGCCUUUUCUUGGCAGUAAGUAGUUUUGGAAUUUGAAUCCAGAAUGUGGGUUUGGGGCCAGAGUUACAUUUUGUACCCCACACCAGCUGACUCACGAAAUGGUUCGUAUCUGCACUUUAGGAAGAUCAUAUCCCAACCCCAGGCAAGGCCAGAGCGUGCGUACUCACAGCAGCAGGCAAAAUACUGGUGGAUUCCUAGCUCUACCCGCCCCCCAAGCCUCCCCAGACACCCCGGGAAUUCUCAGGCAGCUUUCUGAGCCUCUAGUGAUGAUCGUUUCCCUAACUUCUUUCAAGAAAAGAUUUGUACUAUGUGGCAACUCGCAGCCUCUGGGCCCAGACAAGUCAAAUGGGAGAGCUCAAGACCGGGCAUACAGCCUGAUGCUGGGCUCUGAACCUUUGCCAACGAUUCCUCCAACUAGUCUAGGCAUCUCCACAGCUCCCUGACUAGACGUAGCACCUUGGUUUCUGCAGGAGAAAAGGGAGCUCCUCUGUCCCCCUGCCAGGCAACCUCACACUGCCAGGGCCUGACUCUGAGGCCUGUUUAGCCACUCUUAAUCCCCUAACAUUCCUGGGAAGAUGAAAUGGCCAGUAGAGAUGAGGCAUAUCUGACCUAAGAAGUUUUCCUUUCUCUUGCAUUUGCUCUCAGGGUUUAAUUGGAAAAGGGGGGAAACUAACGGGACCUUUUCUGCCACUCCUAGACUCUGGCCAUUAGAGAGAAUGGGGUGGGCUUGGGAGAGAUGUCCCAGGAGCGCUGGGGUCCCCAGGGCCUGCCUCCCUUCUGGGGGCCAGGCAAGCAAUGGGCCAUGGUCUCCAAUGGGAGAACAUGCCUGACAAAAUUGACCUCCCAUGAGGCAAGAUGAUAGAAAUGGUCCGAGUCUUUCAGAACCCUGGUUUUCUCAUGAAGGAGACAGGCCAGGCCAAGGCAAGCACAGCGAUUCUAGCCAAAGGUCGCCCAGGAAGCCUGAGGAUGGGCAAAGGGCAAUAGACAGCCACGUCUGGUACCUGGAGCCAGCAGGCAGAGAAAGCAGCUGGAGAGUCAGACCUCUUCAAAGGCAAGACAGACACAAAGGCCACCCUGGGGCUCUUUGUCUCAGAGACACCAUGUACCCUCAAGACAUCUCACUCCUGCAUUCUUUCUCAGUGCCAAGGGCUGAUGCAGCCAGCCUGCCCCCUGCACCCCCCUUCCCCCCCCCCCCCCGCCAAGGCCAGGGUGCAUGGGCACCAAUGAGUGUUACAGGCCAUGUCCUUCAGAGUUGUCCCGCAGGCACUCACAAUGCUGGUGGCUGAAAGACGGAGAGCAGCACCAAAGGAAGGGAUCUUAUUUAGGCACCAGCCUUUUGCUCUAGCAAAAUCCGAGGAGACAAUGGGUAGGGUAGGGUCCUGAUACCAUCCACACUCCACUCAGGCUUCAAGAACAGAAGCCCAGAUCCCUGCGCCAAGAAGAGAGGACAGUCCUUUCCGAGGAGGGGAGAGUGGUGGGAGGGCUUGGCUGCUGCCCGUCAGGGCUGCAGUCGUCCAGAGGACAGAAAUCAUGGAGACUAGCCCACCAGUCUUGAGACACAAACACAGCAAAAUGUCAUCAUGAUCAGCAGGUUCUGUGCUAAAAAAUUAUAACUACACAGCAUUUUCUCCAGUUCUGACACCUUUUUAAUAGAAAUCACUGUUUUUAGGAAACAAAUAGCACUUUUGUAAUUUUUUUUACAAUGUUUCUUACCUUGAUCUUAAUUUAAGUAACACUAGGAAGACCUCAAUAUCUUUUAUUUUCCUUUUUAAUUUAAAAAAAAGUUGUUGUUGUUGUUUUCCCCAGAUACAAAGAUUUUUGCCCUUGCAUAAAAAACAGUGCCCCAAACGAUGACACAAGGACUCACACAGACUCACUGGACCUCACUGACACUAUGAUUCCUAGUCUACCAUGCACGGCCUCGACUACCCUUAAUUGACUGUCAGCCUGAAAAACAGCUUUUCUAUUCCUUAUUUUAGUUUUUGUUACCAAAAAAGUAAAAGAAACAAAAUAAAACUUUUUCUUAAAGAAAAAAACAAAACAAAACAACAAAAAUUAAAAAAAAGAGAGAAAAGAAACAUCUCCAUUCAAUUCACACACACCUGGGUCGCGUGCUGCUUCGCUCAGAAUCUUCUCUUCUU